This 171-nucleotide microRNA precursor is filed under the name Medicago truncatula (barrel medic). RNAcentral's name for it is "MIR2619 microRNA precursor family". It matches the Rfam family "MIR2619 microRNA precursor family". The record is from Rfam by way of RNAcentral. Lineage: Eukaryota; Viridiplantae; Streptophyta; Magnoliopsida; Fabales; Fabaceae.
AAAAUGUCCCCUAAGUUUUGUAACUGUAGCAGUUUUGGCUCCUCAAGGCCAAUUUUUGGUAAAAAAAAAUAACACGUGGCACCUCACUUAGGGUGCCACGUUAGUGUAGACGGAGUCAAAAUUGGCAUUGGCGGCCAAAACUGCCACAGAUGCAAAACUUAGGGGGGUUUU